This 496-nucleotide ribosomal RNA is filed under the name uncultured bacterium. RNAcentral describes it as "partial 16S ribosomal RNA". It matches the Rfam family "Bacterial small subunit ribosomal RNA", at positions 28 to 506 of the family's 1533-position model. The record is from RNAcentral.
GAUGAACGCUGGCGGCGUGCCUAAUACAUGCAAGUCGAGCGAACAGACGAGGAGCUUGCUCCUCUGACGUUAGCGGCGGACGGGUGAGUAACACGUGGAUAACCUACCUAUAAGACUGGGAUAACUUCGGGAAACCGGAGCUAAUACCGGAUAAUAUAUUGAACCGCAUGGUUCAAUAGUGAAAGACGGUUUUGCUGUCACUUAUAGAUGGAUCCGCGCCGCAUUAGCUAGUUGGUAAGGUAACGGCUUACCAAGGCAACGAUGCGUAGCCGACCUGAGAGGGUGAUCGGCCACACUGGAACUGAGACACGGUCCAGACUCCUACGGGAGGCAGCAGUAGGGAAUCUUCCGCAAUGGGCGAAAGCCUGACGGAGCAACGCCGCGUGAGUGAUGAAGGUCUUCGGAUCGUAAAACUCUGUAAUUAGGGAAGAACAAAUGUGUAAGUAACUAUGCACGUCUUGACGGUACCUAAUCAGAAAGCCACGGCUAACUACGU